Non-coding RNA from Setomelanomma holmii, 88 nucleotides. Lineage: Eukaryota; Fungi; Ascomycota; Dothideomycetes; Pleosporales; Phaeosphaeriaceae. The record is from the annotation of a GenBank genome assembly.
UUCUAAUUAGUACAGUGGCUAGUAUAUCCGGCUCUCAACUUUGCUUUGAGUUUCCUGGAAGACCGGAGUUCGAUCCUCCGAUUCGGAG